Molecule: ribosomal RNA, 267 nt
Filed under: uncultured bacterium
Lineage: Bacteria
Description: partial 16S ribosomal RNA
Rfam family: Bacterial small subunit ribosomal RNA
Source: RNAcentral
UACGGUAGGGUGCGAGCGUUGUCCGGAAUUAUUGGGCGUAAAGAGCCUUGUAGGCGGUUUGUCGCCGUCUGCCGGUGAAAGUCCCGGGGCUCAACUCCGGGAUCUGCGGUGGGGUACGGGCAGACUAGAGUGAUGUAGGGGAGACUGGAAAUUCCUGGUGUAGCGGUGAAAUGCGCAGGAUAGUCAGGAGGAACACCGAGUGGCGAAGGCAGGUCUCUGGGGCAUUGAACUGACGCUGAGGAGCGAAAGCCAUGGGGAGCGAACAGG